GACCCGCACGCCGGCCCCGCCUCCCGGACUUCGCGCCGCGGCCGAGGCCCCCGCCCGGAGCCCCGUAAGUACACCUGGGCCCCGCCCCGAGGCUGUCACGUGACCAUUCCCAACCCAGCCCAUUGGCCGGCGGGCCCUUUCCCCUCCCCCCUCCGCCCCUUUCCACCGGCCGCGGGAAAUCAAACGGGCUAGUUGCGCCCCAACCGCCACCUGGCGUCUGCGCGAAGGGCGGGGCGGCGGGCGCAUCGCCAAGGUUGCCCCUGACGACAGAGGCGGGGGCUGGAGCCGGCAGCCUAGGUUCUGGCUGUGAGCGCAGCACUCACCUCCACCCUCGGGACCGCCCUUACCCGUACUGCCGGGUGUGGACGCCUCCUUCCCAGUACCCCGCCAUCCCUCUCCCUGCAGGAUGCACCGCACGCCCGGGGCUGCGGUGUGCGUCUGCGGAGCAAGCUGGAAGGCGCGGCAGAACGACUUUCCCAGCUCACGGUUGCUCUCACAAGCUGGGCCUCUCACUUUUGUUUUUGAGCUGAACUACAUAUAGCAAUAUGCACCACUCUUUGCUGAGUUUUGAUAAAUGUGUCCAUCCAUGUAGUCAACAUCCUAAUCAGGGUAUUUUUCCCUCGCCCGAGAAAUUUCUCUGGAGCCCCUUCCAGGCAAUCCCAGCCUCCCCGAGACCACCGCUGUUCUGAUGUCUACCACGGUGGAUUAAUUUCAGGGUCCACCGUGGGCUCGGCCUGGCGGGGGCCUCCCUCUCCGGCUUUCUGCCCUCUCCCUGGCCACUGCCCUCCGCCGCCUUUCAUUUCUCCAACUGGCUAGGCUCUGCGGACUCAAGGCCUUCCCCCAGGCAGUUUCCACUGCCUCGAACGUGUCCUCCGUGUCUCUCAGGGUGAAUUCUUCUAGUACCAGCUUACAUAUCACUCCUCAGUAUCACAUCAUCUUUUAUUUUUCUCAUGGCAUUUUUGAAAAUAUGGACGUAUCCUGUUCAUUUGCUUCUUUAUUCUAUUCCUCCUCCCGCCCCGUCCCCUGGACAACGCUAGACCGUGAACUCCACAGCAAUAAGAGCCUGGUAGUUGUGCCUGACACCUGGAGCAGUGCCUGGCGCAACAUGGGCGCUCAAUAUUUCUUGAAUAAAUGAAUGGUCCCCAUUCCACAGAUGAGAAGACUGUGGUCCGGUGCGAGGCUUGCGCCAGAUUUCGCGGGAACCCGGAAGGUCCGGCCCUGGAGCAGCAAUCUCCCUUCCAAAGUAAUGAGGCUCCAGAAGUCGCUCCUUCCGAGAGGCGCCUCCCCGACCCAGGGAGGACGCGGCCGGCGCUAGGCAGCGCGUAUUUUUAGCCGGGACAGCGCGCUCCGGGGCAGCACUCGUGCCUUCACGCGCUGCUCUGCCCCACGUGCGCUUCCCGAGUCCUGGUGUCCCGGCCAGGCCCUGCGUCGGCUCCCCAACUGCGGCCGCCGCCAAUCCAGGUCCCGGCGCGCCCUCUGCCGGCCACUCUCGGAGGCCGCCGGCACCGGUUUGCUCGCGGUCCUUCCACCAGCUACCCCGCCCGCCCCACCCCUCCUUGCUCUUUCGGAGUUGAGGAUUCUGUUUCCCUGGGUAUCCGACACAGUGGACUGAAAAAGAGAAAAGAUGAAAAAACAACUAAAUCACAAGGCGAAGCCGUGAAGGACACAGACAGUACUACCCUCCCUUAGGACCAAUUUACCUGUGCCCAGCCCUGAACUCAAGGAAUGCGAGCAGCACAAGACCAAGGCUGGAGGAAAGCAAGCAAGAAUCCUCUCAGUGACCCCGGCCACAGAAGAAUCUCAUGGAAGGUCUAUAAGGAGAAAUGCAUGAGAAUGUGAAGGUGGGAAGUUAGAGGCAGCCAGGGCCUCCAUCACUGGGAGCGUGACGGAGGAAAUGUGCUCAGUCUGGGGAGCCAAGGUAGCGCCUGAGAUGGACUGCCCAGAGGAAGUACCGGGCUGACUUGGAGGACUCCUUCUCCCUUCAGGGGUGGCAGGAGGGGAGACGCCCUCCUCUCCACACAGGUCUCAGGUAAGGGACAAGUGGCGCAGACAACAACUGGUUUGUCCUCAACUCCAGUCUUACCUACCUUCCCAAGCCCAGCUCUGCCGUGAGACUAGUGUGCACAGCCCAUCCAACUCUGAGCAGACUCCACAAGAAUCUCAGAAUCCCAGAACCUUAAGAGGAUUGCCUAAUUCCUGUAUUACUGCAUUUAUCUUCAGGAGUGACUUGGUUAAUACAUGUCCGCCAGCCACACAAACUGAAGGCACCUUUGACCUACCCUUUGACUUCAUCUUCCUCAUUCAAUUAAUCACCAAGUUUCAUCAAUUAAAUCUCCAA
Equus caballus (horse) is the source of this 2338-nucleotide non-coding RNA. The record is from RefSeq and is a predicted model, not a curated record. NCBI's taxonomy places the organism in Eukaryota, Metazoa, Chordata, Mammalia, Perissodactyla, Equidae.